Molecule: long non-coding RNA, 2154 nt
Organism: Bos taurus (domestic cattle)
Lineage: Eukaryota; Metazoa; Chordata; Mammalia; Artiodactyla; Bovidae
Source: Ensembl
AUGACUACUCUAUGGUGCCAAAGAGACCGUAGAAGGAAAACAGACUCCGAGUUGAAUCCUAAUUUUGCCACUUCCUGCCUGAAAACUCUGUGCAAAUUAUUUAACUGUCUGUACCUGGUUUUCCUGUUGGUAAAAUAUGGAUGAUAAUACCUGCCUCACAAGAUUCUGUCCGUAAAACACUUGGCCUAAAGUAACAUACAGGAGAUAGCAUUUCUGAUGGUGACCUUUCUCAUAAAUAGUUUAUAAAUUUCUCACCACUCUUCUCAGUCCUGGCUGCAUAUUAGAGUCAUCUGGGGACCUCCUGAGGCCCAAACACCAUCCCCAGAGGUGUUGAUAUAGUAGCUGGGAUGACACCGUGGGAAAAGGAAAGGCUUCAACUCUUCUCCGAAGGUUACGCCAGUUAGGUUGGAAAGCCUGCUAGCUGAUUUCUUUAAACUCCUCCUCAUUUUUAGGUUUACAUACUACUGGCAGCAAAGACUCACUAUGUUUGAGCCUCAUAACUGGAGGAUAAGGCGACCAAAAAGCAUGCUGCAAAAACAUUUUUACAUUCGCUACCGGGAUUCCCUCAUCCUCACCAGCCUGGGAUUCGUGACUUUGGCUCUGGGAAUUGCUAUCACAAUCGGAGCUUUUAACAACGUGGUUGUCCUCCUUGGGAUGACGCUUGAUUUUCUGGGUGUCCUUCUUGGUAUUUUGGGGGGUAUAAACAUGUACACCACCUACUCGUGCUUCCAGAGCUCCUUAGAAGCACGAGGGGCAGCUGAGAACAUUCACCUCAUGUGGUGUCAGGUUCUACAUCAAGAGCCUGAACUCUUGGCCAGCAUCUGCUUAUAACCUCAUAUUUAAUCUGAAUAUCUCUAGGACUCCAAUUUUGUUUUAUGCAGCAUUUUCAAACUUGAAAUAAAAUUCUGAAAGCUACUGUGAAAGAGAUUUUCAAUGUCCCUUUUUUUUUUUCUCUUAACUUGGCCACACCAACGCACUGGAUUUGCUAUAGAAGUUCAUGACUGUUGACUUCUGAUCUCUGGUGAAAGAAGGGAAUGUUGGAGUACAGGUGAUGACGCUGAACCUUGCCAUAUAGAAGAGAUACCUACACGGACUUCUCUUGUAGAAUCCAGUCUUUCCACUCAUCCACAGAGACUUGUGAAAUCUGUUUUGGGCCCCUGAAUCUCGGCCUCAAACUGCCCAGUUCUCCAGAGAUAGACCUGGAGUUUGUACUAUGAUCUGUUAGGCUCCAGCCUCAGUUCUCAUGUGGAUCCAAUGAUUUGGAAUGGAAAUAUAGUGCCAGUAACCCAUGUUCCUGUCUGAGCUACCAGGGAAGCUUAAGAGGUGGGUGCUAGUUGUAAAGAGCCCGCCUGCCAAUGCGGGAGACAUAGAAGACGUGGGUUCAAUCCCUGGGUGGGGAACAGCAACCCACUCCAGUACUCUUGCCUGGAGAAUCCCAUGGACAGAGAAGCCUGGUGGGCUACAGUCCAGGGGAUCACAAAGAGUUGGACAAGACCAAACCGACUUAGCAUACAACCCAUGUUCCCAGCAUAGCUGUCAGCCAACACCAAUUGUCUUAUUGACUUCUCUCCUUAGUGCUUCAUUCAUAGCUGACUUCAUUCACAGUAUGGCACAUGGGUCCCUGGUUCCCUGACCAGGGAUCGAACUUGCACUCCCUGCACUGGAACCUCAGAGACUUAAUCACCAAACCGCCAGGGAAGUCCCCCCUCUUCCUUUGAACUGGUAUUUCCUCCUAUUGAAACGCUCAUUCUUCAAAACUCGUGCCGUCUCGUGAUAGCACGCCUCCUCCGCCUGGGACUGUCCUCUUAAGGUCCGACACACCGUGUGGCACCUUAUUCCUCAUCCCCCAUCAGCCAUUGACAGCUUCUCCUGUCCUACUGUUUUGCUCUCAUGACUAUUAUUCUUGAGGACAGGGAUGGCCCAUCAGCACAAAAACUGCUUGGUUCUUGUUGGAAUUUAAAAAAAUAACUUUGAUUGCAGGGACUUCCCUGGUGGUCCAGUGGUUAAGAAUCCAUCCUACAGGGGGUGUGGAUUUGAUCGCUGGUUGGGGAACUAAGAUCUCACAUGCCUCUUGGCCAAAAAAACUAAAACAUAAACAACAGAAGCCAUGGUGUAAGAAACUCGAUAAAGACUUUACAAGGGACUUCCCUGGUG